RNAcentral lists this long non-coding RNA (819 nucleotides) under Manihot esculenta (cassava). Its description in RNAcentral is "long non-coding RNA (MESC_LNC000800)". The record is from RNAcentral. Lineage: Eukaryota; Viridiplantae; Streptophyta; Magnoliopsida; Malpighiales; Euphorbiaceae.
GAAAGGAGAAGGACAACAACUCAGAUGCUUUGAAGUUUGAACUUUCACUACAGAAUUCGCAUUUGGACUCGUCUGUCCAAGAUAAAUAUGAACAUAUAAUUUCAUUAUUAAAGAAAGAAAAAUAUAAAUAUAAAUAAUAAUUUUUGUUGAUGAUAGAUAUUAUGAGAAAAUAAUUUAAUUAUAUAAUAAUAUCAAAUAAUGAAGACUAAAGGUGAAAUAUAUUCUUAAAUUAUAUGUGCCCAUAUGGACAUAUAGAAACAAACAAACUUAUCACCUCAUCAUCACAUGAAGCUCAAAUCAUGGGUUUUCAUAACAAAGCAGCAAUUGACAGUCUUCUUGGAGUGUGAAAUCUGGUAGCUUCUACAGACAUUAUUAAAUAUCAUAUGGCAUCUUAAAAAAUUAAAUAACCCCACGAAAAAGAAAGGUUCUACCUUUUUUUCUCUUGAAGUGAAAUUACGUUAGCCCAUCAAACAAACCACAUUCCCAAAAUGGUGGCUAUCGUCAGCCAGACACAGAGUCUCGCGUACACGAAACUUGUGGCUGCUCUUACAGGUCUCGUGAACCAACAGGAUCCCAACUAUUGCCGCCGACCGAUCCGUUCGUAAUUUUACGCCAACUAAAGAACAAACUCGAUGAAUGAAUGAUGCUAAAUUAGGGCCUCUCUCCUUAUCUACUUCUUCAUCCCAAUUUUUUUUACCUUCUUUUGAGCUGUUGGCUGGUAGGAAAGUGAACUCUCAUUUACUGCUGCUAGUUUGCAGUUCACUGGUUUUUUCAUGAAUGACAUAAAGAGCCCUUCAUGCUUCUGCCUAUAUAAAAAGC